This 76-nucleotide transfer RNA is filed under the name Thermotogota bacterium ADurb.Bin062. Its description in RNAcentral is "Thermotogae bacterium ADurb.Bin062 tRNA-Glu". It matches the Rfam family "tRNA". From Rfam's summary of the family: Transfer RNA (tRNA) molecules are approximately 80 nucleotides in length. RNAcentral also lists the same sequence under 2 other names. The record is from RNAcentral. Lineage: Bacteria; Thermotogati; Thermotogota.
GCUCCCGUCGUCCAGCGGUCUAGGACAUCGCCCUUUCAAGGCGGAAACCGGGGUUCAAACCCCCGCGGGAGCGCCA